RNAcentral lists this unclassified non-coding RNA (252 nucleotides) under uncultured Ophiocordycipitaceae. Its description in RNAcentral is "sequence contains ITS2". Lineage: Eukaryota; Fungi; Ascomycota; Sordariomycetes; Hypocreales. The record is from RNAcentral.
AACGCACAUUGCGCCCGCCAGCACUCUGGCGGGCAUGCCUGUUCGAGCGUCAUUUCAACCCUCGAGCCCCCCCGGGGGCCCGGCGUUGGGGGCCGGCCCCGGCCGCCCCCGAAAUGCAGUGGCGACCUCGCCGCAGCCUCCCCUGCGUAGUAGCACACACCUCGCACCGGAGCGCGGAGACGGUCACGCCGUAAAACGCACCAGCUUUCAAGAGUUGACCUCGGAUCAGGUAGGAAUACCCGCUGAACUUAA